GAUGAACGCUGGCGGCGUGCCUAAUACAUGCAAGUCGAGCGAACAGACGAGGAGCUUGCUCCUCUGACGUUAGCGGCGGACGGGUGAGUAACACGUGGAUAACCUACCUAUAAGACUGGGAUAACUUCGGGAAACCGGAUCUAAUACCGGAUAAUAUAUUGAACCGCAUGGUUCAAUAGUGAAAGACGGUUUUGCUGUCACUUAUAGAUAGAUCCUCGCCGCAUUAGCUAGUUGGUAAGGUAACGGCUUACCAAGGCAACGAUGCGUAGCCGACCUGAGAGGGUGAUCGGCCACACUGGAACUGAGACACGGUCCAGACUCCUACGGGAGGCAGCAGUAGGGAAUCUUCCGCAAUGGGCGAAAGCCUGACGCAGCCACGCCGCGUGAGUGAUGAAGGUCUUCGGAUCGUAAAACUCUGUUAUUAGGGAAGAACAAAUGUGUAAGUAACUAUGCACGUCUUGACGGUACCUACACAGAAAGCCACGGCUAACUACGUG
Molecule: ribosomal RNA, 497 nt
Filed under: uncultured bacterium
Lineage: Bacteria
Description: partial 16S ribosomal RNA
Rfam family: Bacterial small subunit ribosomal RNA
Source: RNAcentral